GAAGGAUCCAAGCGUUAUCCGGAUUUAUUGGGUUUAAAGGGUGCGUAGGCGGGCUAUUAAGUCAGUGGUGAAAGCCCCAAGCUUAACUUGGGAAUUGCCAUUGAUACUGAUGGUCUUGAGUACACUUGAAGUGGGCGGAAUGUGUCAUGUAGCGGUGAAAUGCUUAGAUAUGACACAGAACACCGAUUGCGAAGGCAGCUCACUAAAUUGUAACUGACGCUGAGGCACGAAAGCGUGGGGAUCAAACAGGAUUAGAUACCCUGGUAGUCCACGCCCUAAACGAUGAUUACUCGAUGUGUGCAAUACACCGUACGCGUCUGAGCGAAAGCAUUAAGUAAUCCACCUGGGGAGUACGACCGCAAGGUUG
RNAcentral lists this ribosomal RNA (367 nucleotides) under uncultured organism. RNAcentral's name for it is "bacterial SSU rRNA". It matches the Rfam family "Bacterial small subunit ribosomal RNA", at positions 527 to 896 of the family's 1533-position model. The record is from RNAcentral.